AUUCGCAGGGUACGGUCAUCCAACGCAUAUAGCGUCGUGUUCAUCCCCUGCAAAAGAGGUUUACAUCCUAACGGACUUCAUCCCUCACGCGGCGUCGCUGCGUCAGCCUUUCGGCCAUUGCGCAAUAUUCCUC
RNAcentral lists this ribosomal RNA (133 nucleotides) under uncultured bacterium. RNAcentral describes it as "partial 16S ribosomal RNA". The record is from RNAcentral.